Molecule: RNA transcript, 8177 nt
Organism: Globicephala melas (long-finned pilot whale)
Lineage: Eukaryota; Metazoa; Chordata; Mammalia; Artiodactyla; Delphinidae
Gene: CCDC61
Gene name: coiled-coil domain containing 61
Source: RefSeq, a predicted model, not a curated record
CACAUGGUGGGGGGCGGGGCAGUGAGCUGGGGGCUCGGAAGAGUCACUGAGGCCAGGCCACGUGUAUGAAGGUGAAGUGGGGGGUACGCUGUAUUGGAGACUCCAGCUAGGUCAUGGCUGGCGGGAAUAUUUGGUGUGGGGCGUGGUGGUGGCAGAUGGUGGGAAAACAACCAUCGGGUAGGGGCUGCCAGGGGCGAUGAUUUACCCAUGUCUGGUGUAGGACAUGGUGAUGUGGACUUGUUUUGGGGUAGCCCAGCGUGGAGGACUGUCAACUCCGGUCCUGGGGUGAGGGCUGUGAAAUCUGAAAUAUCCGGGGAGCAUAAUUCGGGAGGAGGAGCCAGGGGCGGUGAUGUCACACUGGAAAUGGAGAGGGGGUCACUUUAGUGAAAGAUGAGAGGGCUGGGGGUUGGAAAACUGAGUGUGAGUACACGCGCGUGUGCACUGAAGCCAUGGUGUCAUAAGGCCGGAGAAAUGGUGUCAGGUGUGAGGACCAGAGUGGGGCGCUGGGGAGUCCACCCGGAGUGCACUAGGUGGAAGUGCUGACGUCGCGGGUUGGUAGGGGCGGGGCCUCAAAGGCACAGCACCCCGGCUGGGUUGCGGAGGUCACUAAGCUGAGGCGAAGAGGAGCUGGGAGAGACGUGAGACUGGAACAAAACCAGCGACCAGGAUGGGCCACUGGUCGGCGGUCACAGACCACUGGUUGGAGUCACAGAGCAAGGAUGGAGGAUGCAGCGACACUGGCCAUGGACCAGCCAGCUGGCCUGCAGGUGGACUACGUCUUCCGGGGUGUGGAGCAUGCCGUGCGGGUGAUGGUGUCUGGGCAGGUGCUAGAGCUGGAGGUGGAGGACCGGAUGACGGCCGACCAGUGGCGGGCCGAAUUCGAUGCCAGCUUCAUCGAAGAUUUGACUCACAAGACAGGGAACUUCAAACAGUUCAACAUCUUCUGUAACAUGCUGGAGUCGGCCCUCACCCAGAGCAGUGAGUCGGUUACCCUUGACCUGCUGACCUACACAGAUCUGGAGUCCCUGCGGAACCGAAAGAUGGGGGGCCGCCCAGGCCCCUUGGCCUCGAGAUCGGCCCAGCUCAACUCCAAGCGCUACCUGAUCCUCAUCUACUCUGUGGAGUUUGACAGGAUUCACUACCCGCUGCCCCUCCCGUACCAGGGCAAACCAGACCCUGUGGUCCUGCGGGGCAUCAUUCGCUCACUAAAGGAGGAGCUGAGCCGCCUUCGAGGGCUGGAUGGCCAGGACACUCGGGACAGCCGGGAAACUGAGAUCUGGCAUCUGCGGGAGCAGGUGUCGCGCUUGUCGGCUGAGAAGCGCGAGCUGGAGGCCCAGCUGGGCAGAUCGCGCGAGGAGGCGCUGGCCGGGCGGGCGGCGCGCCAGGAGGUCGAGGCGCUGCGCGGGCUCGUGCGCGGCCUGGAGCUGGAGCUGCGGCAGGAGCGCGGCCUCGGGCACCGCGGGUCCGGCCGCCGAAGCCAGGAUUGCCGCCGCCUGGCCAAGGAGCUAGAGGAGGUGAAGGCGUCGGAGCGGAGCCUGCGUGCCCGGCUGAAGACGCUGAACACCGAGCUGGCCAUGUACAAGAGGGGGAGACGGACUACACCGGUGGUGCCGCCCUCGGCCCGGGAAGAUCGGGCUUCGACGUCUCGGGAGCGCUCCACGUCGCGUGGCCGUGGCGCUGCCCGCUCCUCAUCCCGGGAGAGCGACCGCGGGGGCCGGGGUCAAGGCCGCCCUGGCCGCCCCUCGCCCUCGCCCACAGGUGGUCGCGUGCCCCGUUUCGACCCAACAGCCUUUGUGAAAGCCAAGGAGAAGAAGCAGAGAGCGAUCAAGAUGAAGCAGCAGCAGCAGCGAAACCGAUUGGGCAGCGGAGGAAGCGGGGACCGUCCAUCCACCUCCUGGUCUCGCCAAACUCGGCCCCCCGCAGCCGUGACCGGUCGAGGAGACGCGGCUAACCGCUCCCGAAACCGCAGCUCCUCGGUGGACAGUUUCCGCAGCCGCUACUCGUCCGCCAGCUCCUGCAGCGAGUUCGAGGAUUUCUCUGAAUCCCUCCCUAGAGGCGUUCGUCGCCGGGGGAAGCCGCCCAGCCCCACCACCUGGAGGGGGUCCAAUACGCAGCAGAAACCUAGCCCCCUGGAACGCGGCCGCCAUCAGAGACGCCUGGUGGACUCGGGGGGCUGGGUCCCCAUCAAAGAGUACAGCUCGGACCACCAGGCAGCUGACAUGGCCGAAAUCGACGCCCGCCUGAAGGCCUUGCAGGAAUACAUGAACAGACUGGACGUGCACUCGUGACCUCAGAGAGAGACUACUGCCCCUCCAAUGGAUUCGGAUGGAUUCGGCGUGAGGGGCGGGGCUGGUGUGUCCUGGCCCCGCCCAGGCCCCGCUCCUCCUGGUGCUGUUGGGGUCUCAGGUGUGUGAGGCCCCAAUCCCUACGUCUCCCGCAGGCAUUGCAUUCUGGGAGGGAGGCCCACGUCGCACCAGCCCAGCGUCCGCACGUGGUAGUGCUGCACGUUCUGGACCUGCUUCAGGCAAGAGGCCGGGGUGUCCCAGGCGCUGCCCGCUGCGUGCGACACCACCGCGUAGCGCACGGGCCCGUCUUAGCGCUGGUUGCGCUCGGACGCCAGGGCCUUCCACUCUCUGCGGGGCACGAUGGGGAUGCAGCUUACCGAGGCUUCUUGAGCCGCUCCGAGGCUGAGGACUGCCGGAGAGGGCCCAGGCGAGCAGCGCGCAGCGGCGGGUCAUGGCACGCAGGGCGCGCGGAGAUGGCUAGCAGCUCCAGGCUGGCUCUGCGCCUUUAUCUGCCUGGGGGGCAGGGAAGGCCUUGCAUCACACCCCGCGGGACUUCCCAGUGGGAACCCAGACUCCGAUUCCUUCUCUGGCAGGGCCCCAACAGGAUGCGGUGUGGUCCGGUCCGGAGGGGGGAGACCAUGGUAAAGCCAAGGGGCCCCUCACCCAGCCGAGAGUUGGGGGUGGGGAGAGGCACACAGGCCCUUGGGCACUUCGCCCCGUGGUUUCUGGAAGACCCAGGGUCUGGAUCUCUGCCCUGUUUUGUCUCUCCUCUCAGUGGAGCAUUGGACAGCUCACCAGGACUUAACAUGGGAGGCAGGCGGCCAGGCCUCUUCUCCCAUCCUCCUGCAAGGAACUGAAGAAACAAAGGGGCCCAUUUUAAAAACACUUCUCCUGGACCUAAGCCCGAUGUCAUUUAACCCUGGCAGCAAACUGAAGAGGUGACUAAUGGGAAGCCCAUUUCACAGUUGAGUAAACAGGCCAGAAGAGGGCUACUCACCUUGCUGCCACAUGGGAGAUAGUAAAGCCUGGUGGUCCAGAGCCCUCAUUCAGAGCCAGGCUGCCUGAGUUUGAAUUCUGGUGGCAUUCCAGUGUGUGAGCUUGGGCAAGUGACAACCUUUCUGGGUUUCAGUUUUCCCCACCUGCAAAAUGGGGCUGAUACUAUAACGUAUCUAACUCAUGGGUUGAUCCCUUAGAAGAUGUCUGACUCACAGUGCCACGUAAGCAUCACCUGGGUGGAGGUGGGGGGUUCCCUGGUGGUGCAGUGGUUGAGAAUCCGCCUGCCAAUGCAGGGGACAUGGGUUCGAGCUCUGGUCCGGGAAGAUCCCACAUGCCGUGGAGCAACUAAGCCUGUGCGCCACAACUAUUAAGCCUGAGCUCUAGAGCCCGUGAACCACAACUGCUGAGCCCGAGUGCCACAACUACUGAAGCCCACGUGCCUAGAGCCUGUGCUCUGCAACAAGAGAAGCGACUGCAACGAGAAGCCCACACACAGCAAUGAAGAGUAGCCCCCGCUCUCCACAACUAGAGAAAGCCCGCGCGCAGCAACAAAGACUCAACGAAGCCAAAAAUAACAUAAGUAAAUUUAAAAAAAAAAGCAUCACUGGGACUUGACCUCAAAUCUACCCUUGGUAGUAAGCUGACAGUUCCAUUCUUUUUUUAAAAAAUAAAUUUAUUUAUUUUUAUUUAUUUAUUUUUGGCUGCGUUGGGUCUUCCUAACUGUGCGGGGACUUUCUCAAGUUGCGGUGAGCAGGGGCUACUCUUUGUUGAGGUGCGAGGGCUUCUCAUUACAGUGGCUUCUGUUUGUUGCGGAGCACAGGCUCUAGGCACGCAGGCUCAGUAUUUGUGGCACACAGGCUUAGUUGUUCCGCGGCAUGUGGGAUCUUCCUGGACCAGGGCUCGAACCCAUGUCUCCUGCAUUGGCAGGUGGAUUCUUAACCACUGCACCACCAGGGAAGUCCCAGGACUCAGGACUUGAUCCUCAGGACACUGGGCACCAUGGCCAGGUCCUGAGCACGGAAGGAAAGUAUUCAGAUUUGUGUCUGUGAAUAUCCCAGUAUCUACUGGGAGGAGGGUGGACAGGAAGGUUGAGACUAGAGUUAGCAGUCCAGGGAAGGUGCUGCUAUAGUAGAAAUAUUUGUGCAAUUACCAGAGUCCUAACUGUUUUUUACCACCCAUGGGGGCAGGGGUACAGCAUGCUCCCCUCCCAACCCCAUAUCACCCUCUGGUCUCUGGUGUCCUUUCUCCUGCAGCCGCUGAGUAGCUCCAAACAGCAGAUUGCAACAUUUUAGUAGGUUAGAUAACCACUAGAGUUGGUCAUAGCUAUGUUAUUUUUUAACUGAAAAUAUAUAGAUUAGGGAAUGGAUUUCAACAAUUAAACAUUGUGUCCUAAACUUGCCCUCAAGGAUGUUGGAAGCCACGUAAUGUAAUAUUCAUUUUUUCCCAGAGAGCUGCAGCCUGUUGGUUAACAAAGUCUUGAAUGGAGGAGGCUCAGGGCAAGGGUGGAUUCCUCCUUUGAUGAGCGCCACAGACUUAGCUGCCCCGUCAUGUUUUACAGGUUGGGGCACAUUGCUCAUGACCUUGAUUCCAUUCGCUUCCUGUGAUGGCUUCAGGCAGGACGGGGCCCAGGCCUGGUUGCCUCUGCUUAAAUCCGGAGUGCAGUAGAUGCCUGGACAGCAACCAGGGUGAGGGAGAAAGGAUGUUUUCUAGGGCAGGGUUAGUGUUCCGUCUCUGAAGAGAGACGAGCCCAGACUGCACUCCAGGGCCUGGAGCCUUGUGUCUCAGGGGAGCUGAGUCACUGAAGGGCAGGAGAGUGAAAGGAGAUCAGGACAGGGUAGGGGGGCCUGGGUGCUGGUGGGAGAGCAGUGCCAUUUCUGAGAUCUGUAGAAACCAAGAGCCACUAACUCAACAGCGUUGAGACUUUGGGAUGAGAUAGCCCUGGGUUCACAUCCUGCCUUGGCCCCUUUCUCAAGGUAUCAAAAAAUCCUUUGCACAAAGUCCUGUCCAAUCCUACUACCAGCCCCCUCAGAGACUCCCAUCCUACUGUGUCCACCAUAGGACCUCACUGUCUGGGGACAGCUCUGUCUUCUGCAAGAGAGCCCAGAUCUGGGAGGGACCUGGCCUGUGUUGAUUGAGCCAUCAUUUGGUGUCGGGACCUGCCACUACUUAUGGCUAGAGAAAGUUCUACUUCUGACUUCAAACAGCCAUUUGUUUUAUUCUCUCAUUCUGUUCCCUGAAUCUAAGGAAGACACUGACCCGAGGUCUUACUGCUGGUCAGUGACUCAGGCUGGACUAGAACCCAGGUCUCCUGAACCCCAGUCCGGGGGCCUCCGAACAUCCCUGGCCCAGCCCAUCUAGGAAGGACAGCCUCUGCUCAUAGACAACCCUGGGGAAGACCCAGGUUAACGUUCCCAUGUGCCCUUUCUUGGGACUGGCAGAGCUGGGCUCCUGGAUGUGAAACCCAGGGUGAUGCUGUCAGUUCCUGCUCUCACUGGAUUCCCCACUGGCUUCCUUGUUGCCCCAGGAAUAAAUAGACUUGAUUUUCCUCCUGGCAGUAUCUGGGUGUUAUUUCCAUCUGGCCUUAGGGAGCCCCUCCCAGGAAACAAGCAGGAAUGAGGUAGACUUUCAGGUGUAUGGAGAGAAGGUCAGGUAUGCAGGAGAAGGGGCUGGAGCUCCCCAGAGCCAGGAGGUUCCUCCUCUGCUGGCUGAUGGGGAGGCUGUGUCAACCCUUUGCACCAACCAUAUCCCUGGGAUUACAGAAAGAGACCCCUGCUCCCUGCACAGCGACUUCAAGUGAUGAAAGAAUGGAUGAUCUGGCUAGACCCAGCCCUGGUUGCAUCCUCCACAUGAUAUAGUGAAUUAAGAGCCUACAUGUCAUAGGAGUGGCUGGAGCAACAGGCUCUAGGCUGUGUCUCCAUGAAUGAUACUCAGGGCAGCACUCUUGAGCUGUGAUCCAGGAUCUGGACGCCCUUGUUUCUGCUUAGUGGCUUUUCAGCACCUCAAAGCUAUUGCCUGAACUCACGGGUGCUGCUGGGGAAACACCUGGCUGUGAUGCCCAGAGCUUCAAAUACACCCAGAAUUCCAGCCGCAAGGCCGUGUGGGAAAGGCAGUCUGAAUCUUCCCAGCCUCUGCAGACAAGGAGGCCCUCAGUGGAGGGCAAUGAUGCCAAGUGUCCUGCCCAUUCCUCAUGGUUCCCCCUUGCCCCCAACUUAUUAUAACUGCUUAUUACAACCCAAAAUGUCUCCCACGGCUCAACCGCCAAGUCCUCAGCUGUACGCCUCGCCACUCUCUUCCCUCUUACUUGUGCCCCAGCAUCAGUGUCUGUGCCCCCCACAUCCACAAGUUCCAGGGUUCACGCAUGAUGGUUUCUGUCUGACCCUCUCUCCAAUCUCUUCAUGUGCGUUCUAUUCACGGCCCCCGCACCACCCCCACAGCAGCUUUCAGUUUAAAUGUUGCCCACAUGAAAUGUCCCUGAACUCUGAGGAUGUGGUCUGUAACCUCAUUACAUCCUGAUAGCACCUUGGACGUCUUCUCUUGAGCACUUUUCACAGCUUUUUUUGUGUGUGUGGCUUUGUUGUCAAGGAAGACACUUGAGAAUCAGAGCCAGUUGUGCUUCUGAUGCUCAGUGAGAAGGGAAUGAGUUGUUUCUGGGACCAAACAGAUCAAGGGUUUCAGAUUUAGGUGAACCACACCAACCUUCGCUCUGCACGAGCAGUUGGGAAUCAAAAUCACACUAUAAAGUGAAGAUACUCAGAGAAUGUAUCAUUCCAGAAACAGAUCGAAUUGGUCAGCACUAGAGGUGUGGACAGUUCCUGCUGUUCUUUGGACACACACACCCCCCCCAUUCAAAUGUUUUUACUUUUCUUUUUUUAUGUGUGUGGAAAAAUACACCUAACAUAAAAUUUACUAUUUUAACCCUUGUAAAUUGUACUGUUCAGUGACACUUUGUACAUUCAAGAUGUUUUAUAACCAUCACCAGAAUAUUUUCAUCGCCCCAGAAGGAUAAUCUCAUACUCAUCAAGAAAUCACUGUCCAUUCCACUGUCCUCCCAGCCCCUAUAAAACUCUGAUCUGCUUUCUGUCUCAAUGUUUUCACCUACUUUGAAGUUUUCCUAUAAAUUAUGAAAGAUGUGGUGGUUUGCGUCUGGCUUCGUUCACUCAUCACAGUGUUUUCAAGGUUCAUCCGUGCUGCAGCAUGUAUCGGUACUUCAUUUCUUAAGAGAAAUAAUAUUUCAUUGUAUGGGCGUACCACAUCUUUUUAUCCAUUCAUCACUUGGUGGACGUUUGUGAUGUUUCCACCUUUUGACGCUUGUGAAAAAUGCUACUAUGAACAUUUAUGUACAAAUGAUUGUUUGAACAUCUGUUUCAAUUCUUUUGGUUAUAAUCCAGGAGCAGAUUUGUUUGUUCACAUGUUUAAUUUAGUGAGGAAUGAACAGUUUUCCACAGUAGUUGCACCACUUUGCAUAUUCACGAGCAAAGUGUGCAGUUUGCAAUUUCUCCAUAUCCCUGUGAACACAUUUUUUUUUUUAUCAUUUAAAAAGUACCACCAUUCUAGUGGCUAUACAGUGGUAAUUCCUAGUAAUUUUGAUUUGAAUUUCCCUUAAAACAUGACUUUGAUCAUGUUAUCAUGUGCUUAUUGGAUAUUUGGAUAUCUUCUUGGAGAAGUAUCUAUUAAGUCCUUUGCCAAUUUUACAAUUGUAUUAUUUAUCUUUUUGUUAUUCAGUUGGAGUUCUUUAUAUAUUCUGGAGACUAUAUUCCAGAUCGUUAUUAGCUAUAUGAUUUUCAAUAUUUUCUUUUAUUAUGUGAGUUGUAUUUUCACCUUCUUGACAGUAUCCUUUGAUACCCAAAACUUUAAAAAAUUUUUAAAGUCCAAUAUAUGCUGGGGUUUUUUUUUUUU